GGUGAGGUGGCUGAAUUAGGUGAUAGAUUGUAAAUCUAUUUAUGGGGAUGAAACCCCUCUCAUCA
RNAcentral lists this transfer RNA (65 nucleotides) under Parafronurus youi. RNAcentral describes it as "tRNA-Tyr". It matches the Rfam family "tRNA". Rfam says of the family: Transfer RNA (tRNA) molecules are approximately 80 nucleotides in length. The record is from RNAcentral. Lineage: Eukaryota; Metazoa; Arthropoda; Insecta; Ephemeroptera; Heptageniidae.